Molecule: ribosomal RNA, 1267 nt
Filed under: metagenome
Description: bacterial LSU rRNA
Rfam family: Bacterial large subunit ribosomal RNA
Source: RNAcentral
AAAUACCAAGGCGCUUGAGAGAACUCGGGUGAAGGAACUAGGCAAAAUGGCACCGUAACUUCGGGAGAAGGUGCGCCGGUGAGGGUGAAGCAUUUACUGCGUAAGCCCAUGCCGGUCGAAGAUACCAGGCCGCUGCGACUGUUUAUUAAAAACACAGCACUCUGCAAACACGAAAGUGGACGUAUAGGGUGUGACGCCUGCCCGGUGCCGGAAGGUUAAUUGAUGGGGUUAGCUAACGCGAAGCUCUUGAUCGAAGCCCCGGUAAACGGCGGCCGUAACAAUAACGGUCCUAAGGUAGCGAAAUUCCUUGUCGGGUAAGUUCCGACCUGCACGAAUGGCGUAACGAUGGCGGCGCUGUCUCCACCCGAGACUCAGUGAAAUUGAAAUCGCUGUGAAGAUGCAGUGUAUCCGCGGCUAGACGGAAAGACCCCGUGAACCUUUACUAUAGCUUUGCACUGGACUUUGAAUUUGCUUGUGUAGGAUAGGUGGGAGGCUUUGAAGCGUGGACGCCAGUUCGCGUGGAGCCAACCUUGAAAUACCACCCUGGCAACUUUGAGGUUCUAACUCAGGUCCGUUAUCCGGAUCGAGGACAGUGUAUGGUGGGUAGUUUGACUGGGGCGGUCUCCUCCUAAAGAGUAACGGAGGAGUACGAAGGUGCGCUCAGACCGGUCGGAAAUCGGUCGUAGAGUAUAAAGGCAAAAGCGCGCUUGACCGCGAGACAGACACGUCGAGCAGGUACGAAAGUAGGUCUUAGUGAUCCGGUGGUUCUGUAUGGAAGGGCCAUCGCUCAACGGAUAAAAGGUACUCCGGGGAUAACAGGCUGAUACCGCCCAAGAGUUCAUAUCGACGGCGGUGUUUGGCACCUCGAUGUCGGCUCAUCACAUCCUGGGGCUGAAGCCGGUCCCAAGGGUAUGGCUGUUCGCCAUUUAAAGUGGUACGCGAGCUGGGUUUAGAACGUCGUGAGACAGUUCGGUCCCUAUCUGCCGUGGACGUUUGAGAUUUGAGAGGGGCUGCUCCUAGUACGAGAGGACCGGAGUGGACGAACCUCUGGUGUUCCGGUUGUCACGCCAGUGGCAUUGCCGGGUAGCUAUGUUCGGAAUAGAUAACCGCUGAAAGCAUCUAAGCGGGAAACUAGCCUCAAGAUGAGGUCUCACUGGGACCUUGAGUCCCCUGAAGGGCCGUCGAAGACUACGACGUUGAUAGGUUGGGUGUGUAAGCGCUGUGAGGCGUUGAGCUAACCAAUACUAAUUGCCCGUGAGGCUUGAUC